GAGCGGAUCUUUGGGAGCUUGCUCCUAAAGGUUAGCGGCGGACGGGUGAGUAACACGUGGGCAACCUGCCUGUAAGACUGGGAUAACUUCGGGAAACCGGAGCUAAUACCGGAUAAUUCUUCUCCUCUCAUGAGGAGAAGCUGAAAGAUGGUUUCGGCUAUCACUUACAGAUGGGCCCGCGGCGCAUUAGCUAGUUGGUGAGGUAACGGCUCACCAAGGCGACGAUGCGUAGCCGACCUGAGAGGGUGAUCGGCCACACUGGGACUGAGACACGGCCCAGACUCCUACGGGAGGCAGCAGUAGGGAAUCUUCCGCAAUGGACGAAAGUCUGACGGAGCAACGCCGCGUGAACGAUGAAGGCCUUCGGGUCGUAAAGUUCUGUUGUUAGGGAAGAACAAGUAUCGGAGUAACUGCCGGUACCUUGACGGUACCUAACCAGAAAGCCACGGCUAACUACGUGCCAGCAGCCGCGGUAAU
RNAcentral lists this ribosomal RNA (477 nucleotides) under uncultured bacterium. RNAcentral's name for it is "bacterial SSU rRNA". It matches the Rfam family "Bacterial small subunit ribosomal RNA", at positions 64 to 524 of the family's 1533-position model. The record is from RNAcentral.